This 537-nucleotide ribosomal RNA is filed under the name uncultured eukaryote. RNAcentral describes it as "SSU rRNA". It matches the Rfam family "Eukaryotic small subunit ribosomal RNA", at positions 500 to 1052 of the family's 1831-position model. The record is from RNAcentral.
CGGCCGCGUCGACAAUGAGUACACUUUAAAUCCUUUAACGAGGAUCUAUUGGAGGGCAAGUCUGGUGCCAGCAGCCGCGGUAAUUCCAGCUCCAAUAGCGUAUAUUAAUUUUGCUGUUGUUAAAAAGCUCGUAGUUGGAUCUCGGUUUCGGGCGGGUGGUGCGCCUUGCGGCGUUUACUGUCUGCCCGGACGAUUUUGUUGGUUCGUUCAUGGUGCUCUUAAUCGGGUGCCUUGAGUGGCCAGCACGUUUACUUUGAAAAAAUUGGAGUGCUCAAAGCAGGCGCUACAGCCUGAACAAUUGUGCAUGGAAUAAUGGAAUAGGAUCUCGGUUCUAUUUCGUUGGCUUUCGGAGUCGAGGUAAUGAUUAAUAGGGACAGACGGGGCAUUCGUACUGCGACGUUAGAGGUGAAAUUCUUGGAUCGUCGCAAGACGAACUACUGCGAAAGCAUUUGCCAAGAAUGUUUCAUAAUCAAGACGAAGUUAGAGGUUCGAAGCGAUCAGAUACGCCUAGUCUAACAUAACGAUGUCGACUGGACG